Cryptomeria japonica (Japanese cedar) is the source of this 1760-nucleotide long non-coding RNA. RefSeq lists it as uncharacterized. The record is from RefSeq and is a predicted model, not a curated record. The transcript is spliced from 2 exons. Lineage: Eukaryota; Viridiplantae; Streptophyta; Pinopsida; Cupressales; Cupressaceae.
CUUUAUGCCUUGAUUGUACCAUACCUAUUUGGUGAGUUAAAUUGUUCACUCUCAGAAGAAUUGUUGCAAAAUGCCUCUUAUGUGUUUGCUUUAACUUCCGAAACUAUCUACGCCUUAAGAUACCUUUGUACUGUUUUGCAUUUACCAGUAUAAGUCUUUCAUCUGCGUUGCUUGCUUGCUUUUGUGAAAAAUCUGUCAUGACAGAUUCCCAGGACCCUGUUAAAUCCUCAAAACUAGCCAAUUUUUUUUGCCUUGUUUAUCUUCCAUGCCGUCAUCUUUGCCUGAUAUGUCUACUUCUGCUUGGAACAAAUUUGACUUGAUGUUCUCCUUAAUUUCUGCUUGUACUUGAACCCCCUCCAUUUCGUUCCCUUUAUGCCUUGAUUGUACCAUACCUAUUUGGUGAGUUAAAUUGUUCACUCUCGGAAGAAUUGUUGCAAAAUGCCUCUUAUGUGUUUGCUUUAACUUCCGAAACUAUCUACACCUUAAGAUACCUUUGUACUGUCUUGCAUUUACCAGUAUAAGUCUUUCAUCUGCAUUGCUUGCUUGCUUUUGUAAAAAAUCUGUCAUGACAGAUUCCCAGGACCCUGUUAAAUCCUCAAAACUAGCCAAAGGUUGAGAUGCUACAUGUCGAGUUGCAGAGUGUUUCCAUCCUUUUUUGACUUUAAUAGGAUUUGAAUAAAUGUAAAUUCACCGGAGGUCAGGGUUGUCAUAUGGUUUCUGUGUUUGCGAGAUGUUUCUUUCACUUUGGCUGUAACCUAGCUGGUAAUGGCAUCAAUUUAUUCAAAGAAAAUUAGUAGAGAAAGAAAUGAGUGAAAAAUUUCCAUUCACAGCAAUGGAUAUAUUUACUUUCCUCAUAAAGAAAAUUAUAUUUUAGCGUGCUGUUUUAGUAACAAUUGAUCUUUAUGUUGAAGUUGGACUGUAAUGGUGAUUUACAUAUUAUUUGCAGAGUCCUGCCGAGCUUUUACUGAGAUUUAUUGCCUUCUCUGAGGCUGAUUUACACACUCUUGAGGUUUCUAUGUGCCUGGAGAGGACUCUUGAUGCUCCCGAGAUUGUCGAUGAUUAUUACUUGAACCUCAUAGAUUGGGGUGCACUUGGAAUACAGGGGAGACACAUUGCAGUUUCUGGAGUACUAUACCUAGCGCAAUAAUUACAGUUGCACAUUUACUUACCCUGUUUUUAGUGAACCUGUGUCUUCCAGAAGCUUUCCAAGUCUAGCUUUUUUGUUUGUUUAUUGUUGAAAAGUAACAAGCUCUAUAUUUCUCAGAGUUCAGAUGGGUACACAGUGGCUUCUGCAGCAGGAAAUGAAACCCUCAGAUUUUGGCAAGUAUUCGGAGCACAGUGGCUCCAGACACUCCAAAGAAUACUAGACCCGGUACAGAUAUUGCAGGGGAAGCUUUUAAAAACUAUCUUAGUCACAUUCGUUGAAGAAAAUGGGAGACUUAACAUAUCCUUCAGGGUAUCAGGUGCGCACCAAAUUUGUAUAUUUUCUUAUUUUUUUGUUCAUAUUGUUUUCUCUUCUAAGCACUGACUGUCAAUAUCUAUUGAUGUCUGCCACAAUAAUACAUUCCCUGGCGUUUAUAAACACCGCCAGUUUAUUGGCAAUUGAUUAGCUCAACAGCAUUCUGCGACUGGUGAUCAGGAUGGUAAAAAUUGAUGAAUGAUAUUACCCUGUUUUUAAUGAACCUGAGCUUUCCAAUCUAUUGGAACUUUUACAAAAAACUGUUGUACAUUUCUGAUCAUUCUCAGAGGUUUUCAUGAUA